This 468-nucleotide ribosomal RNA is filed under the name uncultured bacterium. Its description in RNAcentral is "partial 16S ribosomal RNA". It matches the Rfam family "Bacterial small subunit ribosomal RNA", at positions 28 to 507 of the family's 1533-position model. The record is from RNAcentral.
GACGAACGCUGGCGGCGUGCUUAACACAUGCAAGUCGAACGGAAAGGUCCUGCUUUUGUGGGGUGCUCGAGUGGCGAACGGGUGAGUAACACGUGAGUAACCUGCCCUUGACUUUGGGAUAACUUCAGGAAACUGGGGCUAAUACCGGAUAGGAGCUCCUGCUGCAUGGUGGGGGUUGGAAAGUUUCGGCGGUUGGGGAUGGACUCGCGGCUUAUCAGCUUGUUGGUGGGGUAGUGGCUUACCAAGGCUUUGACGGGUAGCCGGCCUGAGAGGGUGACCGGCCACAUUGGGACUGAGAUACGGCCCAGACUCCUACGGGAGGCAGCAGUGGGGAAUAUUGCACAAUGGGCGGAAGCCUGAUGCAGCAACGCCGCGUGCGGGAUGACGGCCUUCGGGUUGUAAACCGCCUUCGCCUGUGACGAAGCGUGAGUGACGGUAAUGGGUAAAGAAGCACCGGCUAACUACGUG